This is a long non-coding RNA of Spodoptera frugiperda (fall armyworm), 4924 nucleotides long. RefSeq lists it as uncharacterized. NCBI's taxonomy places the organism in Eukaryota, Metazoa, Arthropoda, Insecta, Lepidoptera, Noctuidae. The transcript is spliced from 4 exons. The record is from RefSeq and is a predicted model, not a curated record.
GUUUUAAUUAUUAUAAUCUAACUGUUAAAAUACGAACUUGGAACUAUUAUCGAAAAUCUAGAUUCUAGAUGGAAAUUUUUUUAAUGUGACGUCACACUAGGGAGGGGGAGGUUUCACAAAUGUGACCAAUUGAAGAGGGGGUCAAAAAUCACGAAAUUCGUGUGACGUAAUUUAUGGAUAGUCCCCUAGUUUUUGUGUAAACUGUGACUUGUGUAGUGUAGGAUGGACUGUUCAGAAUAUAUUUUGGUGCUUAGGUACCAGUUAUACAGUGAAAUGAUUGUUAACUGAUGGUAGCGUGGACUCUCUAGGUCCUAGGUAUCGUCAUGAGCUAAUGGUAACAUGUAAACAGUGACUCGUGUAGUGUAGAGAUUGUCCAGUCAACUGAUGGUAGCGUGGACUGUCCAGGCGAUACGUACUUAGGUAUCGUCAUGAGCCAAUGGUAACAUGUAAACAGUGACUCGUGUAGUGUAGAGAUUGUCCAGUCAACUGAUGGUAGCGUGGACUGUCCAGGCGACAAACUGCACUGCCAUUAAAUGAAUUAUUUAAAAAUAUAAGUCUGUUUACCAUUUUAGGUAGCAAGUUUGAUAAUCUUUACGCCAAUGUAUGAUUCCUAUAUGCUGUAUAGAUGAAUUGUAAUUUAUUUUUAGGCCUUUAGGCAUUUAGGCAUGCCUAAAGAACUAUGGGAUGAUGACUCAACGAAAAUAAAUUAUUUCGACUUAUAAAACUAUUGGGCGAUUAACGAAUAUUACAAAUCGUGCGAGAGUGAUCUAGACGCGAAGGCGAUACGGUGCGGCGCGGCGCGAAAACAACAAACUGUCAAAAUGUAUUGACGUGGCCUACGUCACCAACCGCACGUGGGAUGCAGUGAGGCGAUAUAACGCAAACAAUUGGCUUGAUAUUGUCGCGCGAACUGGACGCGGUGCCGUCACGUGUUUGUUUAUAAUGUCGGAAACAGAAACAAAACGAAACGAUUUACAUGCACGUAGGACAUAGCCGCCGUCACACCGUAUCGCGUUGGAUUCGCGUGUCACCGCACUGCUUCGCGUUCGCUUCUAGAUCGCUCACGCAGGACGGCCCGGCAACGCACUUGUAACUCCUCUCGUGUUGCGGGUGUUUAUGGGCGACGUUGAUUGCUUACCAUUGAUGAAUAUAUUGAAUUUGUUGAGUUAUCAUUCCUAUCCCAGACAAAGUAUUAAUGAUAUUAAUUCCUAUCUCGAAAUUUUAGGUUGUAAGUGUUGUGAAUUUUGCAUGUAAAGCAAUAUCUUCCUAAUUUCCUAUUUACUGUAGUUUUAUUAUAUGUAUAUAGGGGUGACUGGUAAUUAGUGAACGAUAUUUAAACACGUGAUUGUACUCAUGAUUACAAACAACUUUCCCGAAGAAACUUUUUUUGUAUAAUCUUUAGUUUUAUUUUUAUCACAAUAAUAAAGCAACAAAAUUUCGUUAGCACGCGCGCGUAAAGUUCCAAAAUACCUUAGCUAUGUAGCUGUGCGAGUAAGAUGCGCAGCUCGAGUAUGCUAUGGCAUCGAUAGUAAGGAAGCUAUACAUAGCACACAUCUUUUAUCGUGUAACAUAUCAAAAUACCUACUAGUAUUCCGAUAACGCGGGCGCCUUGCAGCUAACAGCUGAUCAAUUUUGUUGUUUUGUUAUUGUAAUAAAAAUAAAACUAAUGAGUAUACAAAAAAAGUUUCUUUGGGAAAGUUGUUUGUAAUCAUGAGUACAAUCACGUGUUUAAAUAUCGUUCACUAAUUAUCAGUCACCCUAUAUACUUAGAUAUGUUAAAUAAUACCGAAUUAAUUUUCUUUUUUUAGUCAGUUAGAAAUUGUCCUGAUUGUACUUUUUAAUUGUUGAUCGAUAAUCAACUCUAUUUACUAUAGGAUAAGGUUGCUAAAUGCGUGUUUAGGAAUGUUUUUUUUUUGAGAGUGUGAAAGGAAUUUUGAUUGUAUUGCGUUUGUUAUUAAGGCGGAGAUUCGUAUAACGAAUUCGUUUAGUUCAAGCGAUUUUGAACUUAAAGAAAGAUUGUGUAAGUGGGAUUUUUGAGUGAUUAGUUUUUGGGUUGGUAUUUUUGAAGAGGAGUCGUAUGUUUUAUGGUUUUAAAAAUAUAGGAAAUAUCUACGUGGGAAGUCCCAUACAUUGUUUGUAUGCGAUUCGGGGUGAUUUUCCACCAGAGAUGUGCUAUGCUACAUUGCUGUGGAUGCGUUUUUUCCACCAAUCAUAUUCAUUGGUACACAUAGCUUAGCACUGGUGGAAACGGACUCAACUAAGCUAUAUUUUUUAUAUGGAAAGAUGCGUGUUAUGAAUGGCUUCCCUGCUAUCGAUACAUUGCAUACUCGAGCUGCGCAUCUUUCUCACACAGCUACAUAGCUUAGUAUCAGUGGAAACGGUCACAUAGUUUCACAGCUUAGCUAUUGCAUCUUCGUUGAGCUACUUAGCACAUCUCUGGUGGAAGAGCACUCUCAAACAUAAGUCAUAAAAAACAAUCCGUAUAAUUUCUAACUGAUAUUUUUAAGUUUUGAAUUUGACAUCGAUGACUACUACCCUUUCUAUUUAAAGUAAGCGUCCACAGGCCCGCAUCGCACGCAUUCCGUAUGACGUCAUCAGUACGCAUCGCAUGUAGGCAUUGCCGAUGAUGCGGUCCGUACGAUGCGGAUCAGUGGACGCAGUUGUAUGAGUUUCUAUACAAGACUAACUAAAAUCCGUUGCGUGCGAUGCGGGCCUGUGGACGCGUACCUUUAGUCGGAACCCUAUUACUAUUAAUUAUUAUUUUAAUAGUUAAUCAUUUUAAUUAUUAUAGCUAAGUUUUCUUUUCGGUUUUGACGCGAUGGUCUUAGUAUUUGAGCUGGGAAUUUCUUUUGUGUCGUGGGUUACAAACAUACAAGUUCACAUACACACGACACCCAGACCCGGAACAACAAUUUGUGACACCUUAAGUGCAGAUGUCAUUUUAAACCCAGUGCUACAUUUUAAAAUAUUUUCCCAAAAACUAAAGACUAUCGCGUAAAAUCAAAGAAAAUAUACAUUGGAGCAUGAAAAAGCCAUAAAUUAAAACGUUUUCGAAAUAAUUAAAUUAAUAAAUAACACAAAAUUGUUAAUCAUAUAAAAUUUUAAGCGAUUUGUCAAUUUUUGUGUGAGGGGUUGUAGUUUUGAAAAUAUCGGUUUGCGUAUUGUCCAGUCAACUGAUGGUAGCGUGGACUGUUCAGGCGAUACAUACUUAGGUAUCGUCAUGAGCUAAUGGUAACAUGUAAACAGUGACUCGUGUAGUGUAGAGAUUGUCCAGUCAACUGAUGGUAGCGUGGACUGUCCAGGCGAUACGUACUUAGGUAUCGUCAUGAGCUAAUGGUAACAUGUAAACAGUGACUCGUGUAGUGUAGAGAUUGUCCAGUCAACUGAUGGUAGCGUGGACUGUCCAGGCGAUACAUACUUAGGUAUCGUCAUGAGCUAAUGGUAACAUGUAAACAGUGACUCGUGUAGUGUAGAGAUUGUCCAGUCAACUGAUGGUAGCGUGGACUGUCCAGGCGAUACGUACUUAGGUAUCGUCAUGAGCUAAUGGUAACAUGUAAACAGUGACUCGUGUAGUGUAAUCUAUGUUUGAGUAUUCUAUUAAUGUUGUCAAUUUGAAGCCAGGUUUUGGAAAAAAUGCAAUUAAUUCUUCACAUGUCUAUCAUGUUGUCAUAUUUCAGUAUUUUCAAUCAAAAAUCAAUUCUAUUUAUAGCAAAAUUAAGUUGAUUUUUCAACAAACUUGUGCACUUAGUUUUUUGGCCUAAAAUUGUUCUAGACUUGGCUUAAUUUAAGCAUUUAUAUGUAGUUUAUAUCGAUGUGGAUUAUGGUGCUUAGAUAUAUAUAUAAAAAAUAUAUGUAUGUAUGUUUUUUUAUAGUUAAGACGAAAUAAUAAGUAAUCAAACAGUUUUGAGAACAUCCUGUGUAUUUAGUGUUUAAAAAAAAGUUUUUAAAGCAAGAAGCAAGUACAAAGAGGAGAUGCCAUAAUGUGAUUGUGCACUGUGACACAAAACACGGCCCUGUCCAAUGAUAUUACAAGUAAAAAGGUGUAGAUAGGUUAUAAGCUCAGAAAAUGGCACAUUAAAAUGUGGACAAUUGGCAACGUGUGUGUAGUAUGGGACCGCUAGAUGGAACAUAGAGAGGGGCGCGGUUUGUAACGUCCCGCGCUCCCCGUAAGGUGUCACGCGUUAUGUUAAAGGGAAAUCCAGUUAUGACAUCUUCUCUUUGUAUUUACUUCAUGAUAAAUACAGGCCUAUUUUAAGAGGAAAGAAGUAGAUUUCAAAAAGAUUUUUGACUUAAAAAUCACUUUAAACUAGUUCUUAACGAGAACGCCAUCUAGCGACUAAGUUUGGUAAACACUGACACGUUAAAAAUAAGCUUGUCUUUGCUAUUUUAAUUAUGUAAAACGAAAUUGUUAUUAUACCACCGAUAUAUUAAAAAAAAAACAGGGCGUUCAAACAAACUCUUUAGCUUUAUACUAGCGACCCGCCCCAGCUUCGCAUGGGUGCAAUGGUGAUAUAUUAUGCAUGUAUUAUACAUAUAAAUCUUCCUCUUGAAUCACUCUAUCUAUUAAAAAAAACCGUACCAAAAUCCGUUGCGUAGUUUUAAAGAUUUAAGCGUACAAAGGGACAUAGAGACAGAGAAAGCGACUUUGUUUUAUACUAUGUAGUGAGUAACUGACCCCCUUUCAAACACCUUUUAAACCUUAUCUGGACUUUCACAAGACCAAAAUUAGCAAAAUCGGUCCAGCCGUUCUCGAGUUUUAGCGAGACAAACGAACAGCAAUUGAUUUUUAUAUAUUCGUAUAAUAUGUCGGUGGUAUAACAUACAAUUUAUAGUAUAUUAUAUAUUAUGUAUAAUUAAUUAGGGCUUUACCGUUAUAUUUCACUGUAGAAUCUAUGUUUAGAACAAAUAUAAUGAUUGUUGAAUA